This 71-nucleotide transfer RNA is filed under the name Strongylocentrotus purpuratus (purple sea urchin). RNAcentral describes it as "tRNA-Gly". It matches the Rfam family "tRNA". Rfam says of the family: Transfer RNA (tRNA) molecules are approximately 80 nucleotides in length. Their secondary structure includes four short double-helical elements and three loops (D, anti-codon, and T loops). The record is from Rfam by way of RNAcentral. Lineage: Eukaryota; Metazoa; Echinodermata; Echinoidea; Camarodonta; Strongylocentrotidae.
GCAUUGUUGGUUCAGUGGUAGAAUUCUCGCCUGCCACGCGGGUGACCCGGGUUCGAUUCCCUAACAAUGCA